Molecule: ribosomal RNA, 205 nt
Filed under: uncultured bacterium
Lineage: Bacteria
Description: partial 16S ribosomal RNA
Rfam family: Bacterial small subunit ribosomal RNA
Source: RNAcentral
UGCGUAGGCGGGUCUUUAAGUCAGGGGUGAAAUCCUGGAGCUCAACUCCAGAACUGCCUUUGAUACUGAAGAUCUUGAGUUCGGGAGAGGUGAGUGGAACUGCGAGUGUAGAGGUGAAAUUCGUAGAUAUUCGCAAGAACACCAGUGGCGAAGGCGGCUCACUGGCCCGAUACUGACGCUGAGGCAAGAACGUGGGGAGGACAAC